GUAGGUGGCAAGCGUUGUCCGGAAUUAUUGGGCGUAAAGCGCGCGCAGGCGGUUCUUUAAGUCUGAUGUGAAAGCCCACGGCUCAACCGUGGAGGGUCAUUGGAAACUGGAGAACUUGAGUACAGAAGAGGAAAGCGGAAUUCCACGUGUAGCGGUGAAAUGCGUAGAGAUGUGGAGGAACACCAGUGGCGAAGGCGGCUUUCUGGUCUGUAACUGACGCUGAGGCGCGAAAGCGUGGGGAGCGAAACAGGGAUUAGAUACCCUGGUAGUCCACGCCGUAAACGAUGAGUGCUAAGUGUUAGGGGGUUUCCGCCCCCUUAGUGCUGCAGCUAACGCAUUAAGCACUCCGCCUGGGGAUACGGCCGCAAGGCUG
RNAcentral lists this ribosomal RNA (373 nucleotides) under uncultured organism. Its description in RNAcentral is "partial 16S ribosomal RNA". It matches the Rfam family "Bacterial small subunit ribosomal RNA", at positions 527 to 896 of the family's 1533-position model. The record is from RNAcentral.